RNAcentral lists this transfer RNA (74 nucleotides) under Desmophyllum pertusum. Its description in RNAcentral is "tRNA-Thr". It matches the Rfam family "tRNA". Rfam says of the family: Transfer RNA (tRNA) molecules are approximately 80 nucleotides in length. Their secondary structure includes four short double-helical elements and three loops (D, anti-codon, and T loops). Lineage: Eukaryota; Metazoa; Cnidaria; Anthozoa; Scleractinia; Caryophylliidae. The record is from RNAcentral.
UGACUUGAUAGCUCAGUUGGUAGAGCACUGCACCGGUACCGCAGAGGUCAUGGGUUCGAAUCCCGUUCAAGCAU